Zonotrichia leucophrys gambelii is the source of this 3165-nucleotide long non-coding RNA. RefSeq lists it as uncharacterized. The record is from RefSeq and is a predicted model, not a curated record. The transcript is spliced from 5 exons. Lineage: Eukaryota; Metazoa; Chordata; Aves; Passeriformes; Passerellidae.
GGAAGAGUUGCUGCUGUGAGGAGCUACAUAUGAGACAUCACCAAGAAGGGGGUCCUGUAAGGAACAAAGAGUUGGAUGUCAUGAUCCUUGCAGGUCUCUUCAAACUUGAGAAGUAAUACUUUACUGGGAUGACUUCGGUUCCAUUUUUGCAAGUUUUUCUGUAGGUGGGAAAUACUUGCUCAGGCAAAUAACUGGGAACCACAAGUCAUGUCAACUAUGACCCUGAUUUGAUCAAGAGGGUGUUUUGCUAGAAAUUUAUGAAUGGUGUUUUCAGAUUUAAAUGAAAUUCAGAACAAGGAUGCCUCUCCCUGUAUAUAAUGAGACCAACAAACAUGGGCCAUAAAACAGGCAUUAGAAGACUCCUGGUUGAUGAUGAUGAUGUUUCAUUUUGAAGAAAUCCCAUCAAAGUGAGAAUCAACAGGAUCUGGUACUAAAUAUCAUCUUCCCACAAAGAUGGGUGGGUUGACCAGCCAAGACUAUUCUGUUUGGUUCAGAUGUUUUGGGUGCAUGUGGUGUAUUGAGUAGUUAUCAAUGUGCAUUUAUGUUUUACAUGCAUAAGCUUUGAUUGGGGUUUUUUAAUCCACCAUUUAAAUAAACAAAUUCUCUCUCAUAAUAUGCAUAGCACUGUUUCCACUUCUAUGAAUAUGGAUACUAUCUCUAUUUUACAAAUAAAUCAUAACUUCUACAUUAAGAAAGGAGUAGUAUAACAUUGAUUGUUUAUAUGCAGGCAGAAAUACCUUAUCUGUUUUUUUGUUUUUAUUAUAAUGUUGUUUGUAAAGCUCUGGAGAUUGUAAAGCUAAUUUCAUUGUUGUUAAACUCCUGGAUAAUCUGUUCUGUGACUUUGUGCAUUGCUGAUAUACAACAUUCAGAAUAUUUUUCUAUGUUGAAGGCUGGUGUUUAGUCUUGCUUUCCCUAAAGCUUGUUAUAAUUUAUCCUGCUCAUUCAGCUGCAAGGUUCAAACCCUGUCCACUGAAUUUCCUUAAUUUCCCAUGUCUUUACUUGCCUGAAACUGUUGUCAUACAACUUUCUAAUCUUAUUUAAGUGACAUCACUUGUUUUUAGCUUAGAAAUCCAAAAUUUGAUCAUUUGUGAAUGAACAUUUGUAGCUCCUUUUGUUUUACGGUGUGGUGUUUAGGAUUUAGGAAACUGAAAAGUAGAAGUGCAAGGGUGAAGGAAAAUGGGAAGAAUGUGGAAAAUAAUAGACGACAGUAUGGUAUUUCUGGCCAAGCUUUAUUAUAAAAUUAUUUUUUGGAAAGCUAAAUGAAAUGGAUUUGUCUUGGUCAUCUGUGCAAAGGAAAGUAGGAGACAGGAGAAUAAGAAAUUUCUUUACUUGACUGUGCAGGCAUUACCUCAUCACCAGCCCUGUCAGGCAGAUGUAAGCCAUGGAAUCAUUCUUUCUUCCACCUAUAAGGGAAUAGACAAGCCAUAGAAUCAUAUCAAUCUGAAGGGCUGAGGUGACAAGGAAGAGGUCAAGAUGCACUAGGAUACAUAAUGGUGUGAACUGGAAGUUGUCCUUGUAUACUGGGAUAAAACUAUAGCUAGGGGUAAAGUAGACAUUGCAUCCAUGAAAUUAUUCCCAAGAAAGAAAUGUCCCUGAGCAAAGAGGCUCUUAUGUCACCACUACACCUGUUUGGGCAACAAUGGCCUAGAAAAAACCUCUUCUGAAAUGAAACCCUGCAUGGUAGAAACAGUAAAGGUUCAAUCAGGUGCUCCGAUUCCAGUGCUGAAUUUUUGAAAACUGAAGGCUGAUCUGGGCUUGCAGACACGCACACGGCUGCAUCUGUGCACACAAAUCUGGUAUUUAUAUAAGAUAUCAUUCCAUAUGUGCUUGUCUUUAGGAGGCAGAAGUCAGUCUGCAAGAAUAUAUUCCUUAAAACCAUUUUACAAUAUACAGCUUCUUGGAAAGAAUGAUGGUUUCUAAUAUUUUUUUCAAGCUAAACAUUUACUUAACAUCCUUUGCUAAAAUGGUCUUUAAAAAAUUUUGUGGUGAGAUUGUCACUGUCACUAGAUUCUGAUUUAACUCCACAACCAGACUGCAAAGUAAUAGUUUGAGAAGAUGGACUUUGUAAUCUGACAGUGCAGAAAAGAUGAAGUUAUAGUGGUGCUUCUAAAAUGGAAAAUAGUAGUUGUUUCACUUUGUUUAUCACAAAUAUAUGUUUAAUGCCAUGCCCAGAUUUAUGACAAUAUCUUUGCUGUCAGGUUGUUUUGUAAUGGCCAGAAUAUUUCCUGUCAUAUUUCACCUUUAAUUUGAAUGGCAAUCACUGCUGACUGUGCUUCUAUUUCUUUCCAGAAAAUUAUGUCUGCAAAGAGCUUUGAGUUUUGCACUUCACUAAAAAGGCAGGGGCUUUCUGUGCUAUCAUCAUAAUUUGCCAGAUGACCAGAAAUGACUCCCAGUAAGGGUUGAAGAGUUAUCCCUGUUCAGUCCUUGGAGCUUUUUGAUUGAAUUGAAGUUACAAGCUAUAUAAACAUGAGCUAUAAAAUAUUUUUUAGGUAGGAGCUCUUACUGGUGUAUCUUAGCAUCUCUUAAAGAGAUUAGGCUAUGGCUUUGGAGCUCGCCAUUGGCCUGUGUAGAAACUUCUGGACCCCUUUUGUGUCUCAGUCAUGCAUCCUAUCUGGAAAAGCCUGUGCUGGAAGCCAGAGGAAGAUGAUACUUCUGUCUGAAUCUCUCAUCUUAGGAUAAAUCUUUUCUGUCUUUUAUCAGUUCAUACUAUGUUUAUGUAAUACUCUAUUUAUGAGAAAUAAGUUAUAAUAUUUUUGAAGAACAGACAUACAAACUGCAAUUACUACACCUUCUACCUAUUCCAACUUCUCUUCCCAUUGUAUUCAAGCUGAUCUAGGUAAAUAAAAAAAUCAAUAAGAUCCAAUACUCUCAAGUGCUUUGCUGCCUGUAUAUGCUAACAGCAGCAAUGCCUGCCUUUUGUAUCGUAACGCCUCUCGUUGCUCAGUUGGUAAGGAACAUGUGUGAGAAUGGCCAUGCAAAAGUGACUUGUUAUUGAACUCCUGAACUAAAAUGCCACCAGCAGCUACAGAGGUUGCACCAGGUGAAACAGCAAAGCAGAGCACCAGGAAGGACGUGAUGCAUGGGGUGAGCCUUACAUGACAACAUUUACAACCAGCAGGCUUUUUGAGAAAGCAAAUUGCUGGUGGAAUGUUCUGUCUUGUGUUA